UACGAGGGGGGCGAGCGUUGUUCGGAAUUAUUGGGCGUAAAGGGUGCGUAGGCGGUUUGGUAAGUCUGAUGUGAAAUCUAUGGGCUCAACUCAUAGUCUGCAUCGGAAACUGCCGGGCUUGAGUAUGGGAGAGGUGAGUGGAAUUCCUGGUGUAGCGGUGAAAUGCGUAGAUAUCAGGAGGAACACCUGUGGCGAAGGCGAGUCCCUGGACAAAACCUGACACUGAGGCACGAAAGCUAGGGGAGCAAACAGG
This 253-nucleotide ribosomal RNA is filed under the name uncultured bacterium. RNAcentral's name for it is "partial 16S ribosomal RNA". It matches the Rfam family "Bacterial small subunit ribosomal RNA", at positions 524 to 776 of the family's 1533-position model. The record is from RNAcentral.